Lepisosteus oculatus (spotted gar) is the source of this 119-nucleotide ribosomal RNA. The record is from Ensembl. Lineage: Eukaryota; Metazoa; Chordata; Actinopteri; Semionotiformes; Lepisosteidae.
UAUAGUAGCCAUAUCACCCUGCAACUCACAACUGGCAACCCACUGAAGCUAAGCAGGUGUGAGCCUGGUCAGUACCUGGAUGGGAGACCUCCUGGGAAAAACUAAGGCUGCUGCUGGAA